Long non-coding RNA from Bolinopsis microptera, 1561 nucleotides. RefSeq lists it as uncharacterized. The transcript is spliced from 4 exons. Lineage: Eukaryota; Metazoa; Ctenophora; Tentaculata; Lobata; Bolinopsidae. The record is from RefSeq and is a predicted model, not a curated record.
ACUACCACAUUUACAGGAAGUAUGGUAAUACAUUCUUGUCAGCUGUCUGGGCAAAUCUUCUCUCGCAGAAUUGGAUUAAAAUUUAAUGUAUUUUAUUUCUCACUUCCAACGAUGUCGCAAUUAUUAGGCAGCUAUCAAGUCUCAAGAUAUAAUGACAUAAUUUGAUAGAAUGUUAGUACCAACGCUAUCAGUGCAUUGAAGUCGAGUUCUCGAUACAGGGAGCUGCUGGUAAACUACCGUCGCUAUACAUCGACUAUGACUACAAUCCUACUUUUAAAAACAAACUACAUACAUAUCUCACAUUUGCGAGGACUACUUCAUCACAAGCAAAAAAUCGACAUUGGUAAAUAAAGGUCUGUCUUCUAUAACCACGAUGAAAAGAAAAGCUGGGCGAAAACAUUUGAGACUGCAGAUUGCAGAACUGGAACACUCUAUUUGAAGACAGUGGCUGCUGAGUGCUGAGCUGCAUCAAAUCUAUCAGCAUCAUGUAACUUCGAUCAGGAACAGACUCCAUUUCAUUUCCGACAACUAGCACCUGUUUUCCCUAGACUUACCAAGUAUUAAGUAACUGCAUUAGUAUUAGGUUAAAUUAAAGGCCCUACAUCGAACAAGUCUAACAAUUAAAACUUAAAUGCAAGAGUGCACAAUUUAUCACUAAAUAUCUUCCUCUUUUAAUUCUAAUCAACACACGGUUUCGUCUUUGUUUCACCCAAUCGUGCUGAUAAUCAGUAAUCAUGCACUCUGCACUCUAACUUCGAGAUGUUUCAAAAGGGCUCCCGACGAGUUGAAUUAGAUCAAUAUUUUCUUUUGAUACAUAGAUACUGAUUGGGAGGUUCAUCAUACUAUUCUUGUCACAUGGUAACGAUUAACGAUUAGCUGAUCAGCUUCCAGCAUCGACAGGCCGAAAUCCAUAAAUAUAAUCAGUUGUAAUUUAAUAUUUAUCAUCGUCCGGAUCAUCAUAAUAUUUUAAUUUAAAGUUACAAUUGAACGGUGUUAAGAAAGAUAAUUUAAGAGAAAUGUUUUGAAAGUGCCUGAUUUCGAGUAUAAGAUCUGUACUGAUACAUUAAUUUUCAGAUUGUUAUUAUAGUUUAUUUGUAUUUUUUAUAUUAUCUUAUCCGCACAAGUUCGGAAGCCAUCUGAACGCUAUUGCCAGACACAGGCAUAUAUUUAUUUUGGGGUAUCAUGCUCUCAGAAAUUUCAACUCAGUCCGAUAUUAUAGUUAUACUAACCUGCAUUGCAUAAGGUUAAUUGUCUCGCAGUCUAGUGCAUAAACCUUUUAUUUCGUAUAAACCCUUUAUUUUGAUUGGGAAAACUUUAGUUUAAUGUGGUUACCGUCUCUAAAGUUGGCAUGAUAGUUAAUAAACUCUUAUCUAUUAUGUCACUGAAGAUGACGCCUUGCAACAUGUUUGACGAUAGCCUGUAGAUUGAUAGUUUGAUCUAAGUAUUUACAACAAUUCAUCUAGUUUGAUUGAUUCAAAGGGAAACAAAUUCCUCUCUUAUCUAUUAUGACUAUAUUUAAAUUCAAUCCUGUAAAGUGAUACUCCUUUUUUAGUAAUUUAAA